This 1275-nucleotide ribosomal RNA is filed under the name Escherichia coli. RNAcentral describes it as "partial 23S ribosomal RNA". It matches the Rfam family "Bacterial large subunit ribosomal RNA", at positions 474 to 1751 of the family's 2925-position model. RNAcentral also lists the same sequence under 1 other name. Lineage: Bacteria; Pseudomonadati; Pseudomonadota; Gammaproteobacteria; Enterobacterales; Enterobacteriaceae. The record is from RNAcentral.
UCCUGACUGACCGAUAGUGAACCAGUACCGUGAGGGAAAGGCGAAAAGAACCCCGGCGAGGGGAGUGAAAAAGAACCUGAAACCGUGUACGUACAAGCAGUGGGAGCACGCUUAGGCGUGUGACUGCGUACCUUUUGUAUAAUGGGUCAGCGACUUAUAUUCUGUAGCAAGGUUAACCGAAUAGGGGAGCCGAAGGGAAACCGAGUCUUAACUGGGCGUUAAGUUGCAGGGUAUAGACCCGAAACCCGGUGAUCUAGCCAUGGGCAGGUUGAAGGUUGGGUAACACUAACUGGAGGACCGAACCGACUAAUGUUGAAAAAUUAGCGGAUGACUUGUGGCUGGGGGUGAAAGGCCAAUCAAACCGGGAGAUAGCUGGUUCUCCCCGAAAGCUAUUUAGGUAGCGCCUCGUGAAUUCAUCUCCGGGGGUAGAGCACUGUUUCGGCAAGGGGGUCAUCCCGACUUACCAACCCGAUGCAAACUGCGAAUACCGGAGAAUGUUAUCACGGGAGACACACGGCGGGUGCUAACGUCCGUCGUGAAGAGGGAAACAACCCAGACCGCCAGCUAAGGUCCCAAAGUCAUGGUUAAGUGGGAAACGAUGUGGGAAGGCCCAGACAGCCAGGAUGUUGGCUUAGAAGCAGCCAUCAUUUAAAGAAAGCGUAAUAGCUCACUGGUCGAGUCGGCCUGCGCGGAAGAUGUAACGGGGCUAAACCAUGCACCGAAGCUGCGGCAGCGAUGCUUAUGCGUUGUUGGGUAGGGGAGCGUUCUGUAAGCCUGCGAAGGUGUGCUGUGAGGCAUGCUGGAGGUAUCAGAAGUGCGAAUGCUGACAUAAGUAACGAUAAAGCGGGUGAAAAGCCCGCUCGCCGGAAGACCAAGGGUUCCUGUCCAACGUUAAUCGGGGCAGGGUGAGUCGACCCCUAAGGCGAGGCCGAAAGGCGUAGUCGAUGGGAAACAGGUUAAUAUUCCUGUACUUGGUGUUACUGCGAAGGGGGGACGGAGAAGGCUAUGUUGGCCGGGCGACGGUUGUCCCGGUUUAAGCGUGUAGGCUGGUUUUCCAGGCAAAUCCGGAAAAUCAAGGCUGAGGCGUGAUGACGAGGCACUACGGUGCUGAAGCAACAAAUGCCCUGCUUCCAGGAAAAGCCUCUAAGCAUCAGGUAACAUCAAAUCGUACCCCAAACCGACACAGGUGGUCAGGUAGAGAAUACCAAGGCGCUUGAGAGAACUCGGGUGAAGGAACUAGGCAAAAUGGUGCCGUAACUUCGGGAGAAGGCACGC